This 211-nucleotide unclassified non-coding RNA is filed under the name plant metagenome. RNAcentral describes it as "partial contains small subunit ribosomal RNA, internal transcribed spacer 1, and 5.8S ribosomal RNA". The record is from RNAcentral.
UUUCCGUAGGUGAACCUGCGGAAGGAUCAUUCAUAAUAAAGUGUUUUAUGGCACUUUUUAAAAAUCCAGAUCCACUUUGUGUGCAAUGUUAGAUCUCGUCAAUCUUGGCGAGAUUUUUAUACAUCAACUCAUUCUUUAACUAAUUUGUAUGAAAAAUAUUAUGAAUACUUAAUUAAAAAUACAACUUUCAACAACGGAUCUCUUGGUUCUC